CGGCGUGCUUACACAUGCAAGUCGAACGGAAAGGCCCCUUUCGGGGGGUACUCGAGUGGCGAACGGGUGAGUAACACGUGGGUGAUCUGCCCUGCACUUCGGGAUAAGCUUGGGAAACUGGGUCUAAUACCGGAUAGGACUACGCACUGCAUGGUGUGUGGUGGAAAGCUUUUGCGGUGUGGGAUGGGCCCGCGGCCUAUCAGCUUGUUGGUGGGGUGAUGGCCUACCAAGGCGACGACGGGUAGCCGGCCUGAGAGGGUGUCCGGCCACACUGGGACUGAGAUACGGCCCAGACUCCUACGGGAGGCAGCAGUGGGGAAUAUUGCACGAUGGGCGCAAGCCUGAUGCAGCGACGCCGCGUGGGGGAUGACGGCCUUCGGGUUGUAAACCUCUUUCACCAUCGACGAAGGCCCGUUUUUGCGGGUUGACGGUAGGUGGAGAAGAAGCACCGGCCAACUACGUGCCAGCAGCCGCGGUAAUACGUAGGGUGCGAGCGUUGUCCGGAAUUACUGGGCGUAAAGAGCUCGUANGUGGUUUGUCGCGUUGUUCGUGAAAUUCCCUGGCUUAACUGGGGGCGUGCGGGCGAU
Molecule: ribosomal RNA, 587 nt
Filed under: uncultured bacterium
Lineage: Bacteria
Description: bacterial SSU rRNA
Rfam family: Bacterial small subunit ribosomal RNA
Source: RNAcentral